AAGGAAUAUUGGUCAAUGGGCGAGAGCCUGAACCAGCCAAGUCGCGUGCAGGAAGAAUGUCCUAUGGAUUGUAAACUGCUUUUGCAGGGGAAUAAAGUGAGCCACGUGUGGUUUUUUGUAUGUACUCUGCGAAUAAGGAUCGGCUAACUCCGUGCCAGCAGCCGCGGUAAUACGGAGGAUCCGAGCGUUAUCCGGAUUUAUUGGGUUUAAAGGGUGCGUAGGCGGGAUAAUAAGUCAGUGGUGAAAGUUUGCAGCUUAACUGUAAAAUUGCCGUUGAAACUGUUAUUCUUGAGAGUAGAUAAGGUAGGCGGAAUGUGUUGUGUAGCGGUGAAAUGCAUAGAUAUAACACAGAACCCCGAUUGCGAAGGCAGCUUACCGGGCUACAUCUGACGCUGAUGCACGAAAGCGUGGGGAUCAAAC
RNAcentral lists this ribosomal RNA (420 nucleotides) under uncultured bacterium. RNAcentral's name for it is "bacterial SSU rRNA". It matches the Rfam family "Bacterial small subunit ribosomal RNA", at positions 356 to 773 of the family's 1533-position model. The record is from RNAcentral.